GUCCACUUUUGCAGCACACGUACUAAAAAUUAGAACAUUGCAGAGGGAAUUGCCAUGGCACCUGUGCAAGGAUGAUACACAAAUUUGUGAAGCAUUCCAUGUUUUA
Molecule: small nuclear RNA, 106 nt
Organism: Hemiscyllium ocellatum (epaulette shark)
Lineage: Eukaryota; Metazoa; Chordata; Chondrichthyes; Orectolobiformes; Hemiscylliidae
Source: RefSeq, a predicted model, not a curated record